Molecule: unclassified non-coding RNA, 313 nt
Filed under: plant metagenome
Description: partial contains 5.8S ribosomal RNA, internal transcribed spacer 2, and large subunit ribosomal RNA
Rfam family: 5.8S ribosomal RNA (bases 1-104)
Source: RNAcentral
GAAAUGCGAUAAGUAGUGUGAAUUGCAGAAUUCAGUGAAUCAUCGAGUCUUUGAACGCACAUUGCGCCCCCUGGUAUUCCGGGGGCAUGCCUGUCCGAGCGUCAUUGCUGCCCUCAAGCACGGCUUGUGUGUUGGGCUUCCGUCCCUGGCAACGGGGACGGGCCCAAAAGGCAGUGGCGGCACCAUGUCUGGUCCUCGAGCGUAUGGGGCUUUGUCACCCGCUCCCGUAGGUCCAGCUGGCAGCUAGCCUCGCAACCAAUCUUUUUAACCAGGUUGACCUCGGAUCAGGUAGGGAUACCCGCUGAACUUAAGC